RNAcentral lists this ribosomal RNA (339 nucleotides) under uncultured Pseudomonadota bacterium. Its description in RNAcentral is "bacterial SSU rRNA". It matches the Rfam family "Bacterial small subunit ribosomal RNA", at positions 29 to 351 of the family's 1533-position model. The record is from RNAcentral. Lineage: Bacteria; Pseudomonadati; Pseudomonadota.
AAUGAACGCUGGCGGCGUGCCUAACACAUGCAAGUCGAACGAGAAAGCCUGGCUUGCCAGGCAAGUAAAGUGGCGCACGGGUGAGUAACGCGUGGGUAAUCUACCCUUAAGUCGGGAAUAACUUAUCGAAAGGUGAAUUAAUACCUGAUAACACUGCAUAACUACUGUUGUGUAGUCAAAGAAGGCCUCUGCUUGCAAGCUUUCGCUGAAGGAUGAGUCCGCGUACCAUUAGCUAGUUGGUAGGGUAAUGGCCUACCAAGGUUAUGAUGGUUAGCUGGUCUGAGAGGAUGAUCAGCCACACUGGAACUGAAACACGGUCCAGACUCCUACGGGAGGCUG